Molecule: ribosomal RNA, 331 nt
Filed under: Marionina communis
Lineage: Eukaryota; Metazoa; Annelida; Clitellata; Enchytraeida; Enchytraeidae
Description: eukaryotic LSU rRNA
Rfam family: Eukaryotic large subunit ribosomal RNA
Source: RNAcentral
AUUAAUAAGCGGAGGAAAAGAAACUAACGAGGAUUCCCUCAGUAACGGCGAGUGAAGCGGGAAGAGCCCAGCACCGAAUCCUCCGCCGUAAUGGCGGCAGGAACUGUGGUGUUAGGGACAGCCUAUGGGGAUCGGUCGGGGGUCCGAGUCCUCCUGAUCGGGGCUUCACCCAGAGCGGGUGUCAGGCCUCUACGGCGCCCGGCCGGUUCUCUAAGGUCGUCCUAGGAGUCGGGUUGUUUGAGAAUGCAGCCCAAAGCGGGUGGUAAACUCCAUCUAAGGCUAAAUACAGACACGAGUCCGAUAGCAACACAAGUACCGUGAGGGAAAGUUA